RNAcentral lists this unclassified non-coding RNA (903 nucleotides) under Patiria miniata (bat star). Its description in RNAcentral is "60S ribosomal protein L18a-like, transcript variant X1". The record is from RNAcentral. Lineage: Eukaryota; Metazoa; Echinodermata; Asteroidea; Valvatida; Asterinidae.
AGUUUCGUAAACAUCCAGCCGGAGUGAGCGGAAUUACUGCACUGGUGUCCAAUAUUUCUGCGUGUAUGGAAAUUGGGGCCGGGUACCAGUGUGUACAGGUCGGUCUCUUUUUCUCCUCGUGGAAAUCGCCAUGAAGGCCCAAGGAAUGCUGAAGGAGUUCGAGGUGAUCGGUCGGGCCAUCCCGACCGACAAGCAGCCCCUGCCCGCGCUCUACAAGAUGCGCAUCUUUUCCUCAGAAGAGGUCUCAGCCAAGUCUCGCUUCUGGUACUUCAUCAAGAAGCUCAAGAAGAUCAAGAAGACCAGGGGAGAGAUCGUGUCUUGCAGGAAGAUCUACGAGACCAAGCCAACCAAGAUCAAGAACUUUGGCAUUUGGCUUCGCUACGACUCCCGCAGCGGCACCCACAACAUGUACAGAGAGUACCGUGAUCUGACCACUGCUGGGGCUGUCACUCAGUGCUACCGUGACAUGGGAGCUCGUCACCGUGCCAGAGCUAGCAGCAUCCAGAUCAUGAAGGUGGAGACGGUUUCGGCCAAGAAAUGCCGACGACCCAACAUCAAGCAGUUCCAUAACUCCAAGAUCAAGUUCCCGUUGGCUCACCGCACCCAGCGCACCUUCAGGCCCAUCUUCACCACCAGAAGGCCCAACACCUGCUUCAACUAGACACACCCUGCAAACACAGAAGGGUGCAUUACUGUCCGCCCCACACAGGGGUCAUGGUUGAAUAUAUACAGGGGUCAUGGUUGAAUAUACAGGGGUCAUGGUUGAAUAUACAGGGGUCAUGGGGUCAUUUGUAGACUCCAACACCAGUGGGUUAUAACUUGUGUCUGACAAGGUAUAUUACAGAGUUUGUAAUUCAGUCUGUGAAUAAAAGGCUUUGAAAUGAACAGCCAACAUAAACCCAA